CACACUAUCAUUAACUGAAUCCAUAGGUUAAUGAGGCGAACCGGGGGAACUGAAACAUCUAAGUACCCCGAGGAAAAGAAAUCAACCGAGAUUCCCCCAGUAGCGGCGAGCGAACGGGGAGCAGCCCAGAGCCUGAAUCAGUGUGUGUGUUAGUGGAAGCGUCUGGAAAGGCGCGCGAUACAGGGUGACAGCCCCGUACACAAAAAUGCACAUAUUGUGAGCUCGAUGAGUAGGGCGGGACACGUGGUAUCCUGUCUGAAUAUGGGGGGACCAUCCUCCAAGGCUAAAUACUCCUGACUGACCGAUAGUGAACCAGUACCGUGAGGGAAAGGCGAAAAGAACCCCGGCGAGGGGAGUGAAAAAGAACCUGAAACCGUGUACGUACAAGCAGUGGGAGCACGCUUAGGCGUGUGACUGCGUACCUUUUGUAUAAUGGGUCAGCGACUUAUAUUCUGUAGCAAGGUUAACCGAAUAGGGGAGCCGAAGGGAAACCGAGUCUUAACUGGGCGUUAAGUUGCAGGGUAUAGACCCGAAACCCGGUGAUCUAGCCAUGGGCAGGUUGAAGGUUGGGUAACACUAACUGGAGGACCGAACCGACUAAUGUUGAAAAAUUAGCGGAUGACUUGUGGCUGGGGGUGAAAGGCCAAUCAAACCGGGAGAUAGCUGGUUCUCCCCGAAAGCUAUUUAGGUAGCGCCUCGUGAAUUCAUCUCCGGGGGUAGAGCACUGUUUCGGCAAGGGGGUCAUCCCGACUUACCAACCCGAUGCAAACUGCGAAUACCGGAGAAUGUUAUCACGGGAGACACACGGCGGGUGCUAACGUCCGUCGUGAAGAGGGAAACAACCCAGACCGCCAGCUAAGGUCCCAAAGUCAUGGUUAAGUGGGAAACGAUGUGGGAAGGCCCAGACAGCCAGGAUGUUGGCUUAGAAGCAGCCAUCAUUUAAAGAAAGCGUAAUAGCUCACUGGUCGAGUCGGCCUGCGCGGAAGAUGUAACGGGGCUAAACCAUGCACCGAAGCUGCGGCAGCGACGCUUAUGCGUUGUUGGGUAGGGGAGCGUUCUGUAAGCCUGCGAAGGUGUGCUGUGAGGCAUGCUGGAGGUAUCAGAAGUGCGAAUGCUGACAUAAGUAACGAUAAAGCGGGUGAAAAGCCCGCUCGCCGGAAGACCAAGGGUUCCUGUCCAACGUUAAUCGGGGCAGGGUGAGUCGACCCCUAAGGCGAGGCCGAAAGGCGUAGUCGAUGGGAAACAGGUUAAUAUUCCUGUACUUGGUGUUACUGCGAAGGGGGGACGGAGAAGGCUAUGUUGGCCGGGCGACGGUUGUCCCGGUUUAAGCGUGUAGGCUGGUUUUCCAGGCAAAUCCGGAAAAUCAAGGCUGAGGCGUGAUGACGAGGCACUACGGUGCUGAAGCAACAAAUGCCCUGCUUCCAGGAAAAGCCUCUAAGCAUCAGGUAACAUCAAAUCGUACCCCAAACCGACACAGGUGGUCAGGUAGAGAAUACCAAGGCGCUUGAGAGAACUCGGGUGAAGGAACUAGGCAAAAUGGUGCCGUAACUUCGGGAGAAGGCACGCUGAUAUGUAGGUGAAGUCCCUUGCGGAUGGAGCUGAAAUCAGUCGAAGAUACCAGCUGGCUGCAACUGUUUAUUAAAAACACAGCACUGUGCAAACACGAAAGUGGACGUAUACGGUGUGACGCCUGCCCGGUGCCGGAAGGUUAAUUGAUGGGGUCAGCGCAAGCGAAGCUCUUGAUCGAAGCCCCGGUAAACGGCGGCCGUAACUAUAACGGUCCUAAGGUAGCGAAAUUCCUUGUCGGGUAAGUUCCGACCUGCACGAAUGGCGUAAUGAUGGCCAGGCUGUCUCCACCCGAGACUCAGUGAAAUUGAACUCGCUGUGAAGAUGCAGUGUACCCGCGGCAAGACGGAAAGACCCCGUGAACCUUUACUAUAGCUUGACACUGAACAUUGAGCCUUGAUGUGUAGGAUAGGUGGGAGGCUUUGAAGUGUGGACGCCAGUCUGCAUGGAGCCGGCCUUGAAAUACCACCCUUUAAUGUUUGAUGUUCUAACGUGGACCCGUGAUCCGGGUUGCGGACAGUGUCUGGUGGGUAGUUUGACUGGGGCGGUCUCCUCCUAAAGAGUAACGGAGGAGCACGAAGGUUGGCUAAUCCUGGUCGGACAUCAGGAGGUUAGUGCAAUGGCAUAAGCCAGCUUGACUGCGAGCGUGACGGCGCGAGCAGGUGCGAAAGCAGGUCAUAGUGAUCCGGUGGUUCUGAAUGGAAGGGCCAUCGCUCAACGGAUAAAAGGUACUCCGGGGAUAACAGGCUGAUACCGCCCAAGAGUUCAUAUCGACGGCGGUGUUUGGCACCUCGAUGUCGGCUCAUCACAUCCUGGGGCUGAAGUAGGUCCCAAGGGUAUGGCUGUUCGCCAUUUAAAGUGGUACGCGAGCUGGGUUUAGAACGUCGUGAGACAGUUCGGUCCCUAUCUGCCGUGGGCGCUGGAGAACUGAGGGGGGCUGCUCCUAGUACGAGAGGACCGGAGUGGACGCAUCACUGGUGUUCGGGUUGUCAUGCCAAUGGCACUGCCCGGUAGCUAAAUGCGGAAGAGAUAAGUGCUGAAAGCAUCUAAGCACGAAACUUGCCCCGAGAUGAGUUCUCCCUGACCCUUUAAGGGUCCUGAAGGAACGUUGAAGACGACGACGUUGAUAGGCCGGGUGUGUAAGCGCAGCGAUGCGUUGAGCUAACCGGUACUAAUGAACCGUGAGGCUUAACCUUACAACGCCGAAG
Molecule: ribosomal RNA, 2774 nt
Filed under: Shigella sonnei
Lineage: Bacteria; Pseudomonadati; Pseudomonadota; Gammaproteobacteria; Enterobacterales; Enterobacteriaceae
Description: bacterial LSU rRNA
Rfam family: Bacterial large subunit ribosomal RNA
Source: RNAcentral